UCGAAUGGGGAGAUUCAUCGUCAGCGGCCUCGGCCUCACGGCGGCGCGCGAUGCCACGCACGCGGAUCCUCGUGGUUCGCGUCGCGAUGGCACGCCGCCGUCGACGAACGUCCGGGGUCGUAGUCGUGCACUUCUCCCCUAGUAGAACGUCGCGACCCGUUGAGCGUCGGUCUACGGCCCGAGCGGUCGCCUGUCACGAGCGUGAAUGCGCACGCGGCAGACCCUCGGUCGCCCGGCCGGCUCCUCGGCGGUACUCGCACGGUAUCGGGCCGCAACCAUCCAAUUGAAUUCUGCGUCAGGCCCGCCGCAAGCGCGGUCAGCUUAACCCGGAGGCACGGACCUAGCGCCGUCCCCGGGGCUGGCCAGCUGUUGGUCGGCGGUGUCCUCGGACUGGCCAAGCUCUCGAAAUACCGGUCGGCGACGCUACUGCUUUGGGUACU
RNAcentral lists this ribosomal RNA (440 nucleotides) under Bembix sp. SH-2011. RNAcentral's name for it is "eukaryotic LSU rRNA". Lineage: Eukaryota; Metazoa; Arthropoda; Insecta; Hymenoptera; Crabronidae. The record is from RNAcentral.